UUAGUAACGGCGAGUGAAGAGGGAUUAGCCCAGCACCGAAGCUUGCAGUCACUUGAUUGUUAAGCAAUGUGGUGUUUAGGUUUGUUCUUGGCUUACUGCUUUAUCCAAAGUCCAAUUAUGAGUAUGGCAAUUGGAUUGGCCCAAAGAGGGUGUAAGGCCCGUGUGGAUAAAGAUCAGGUUAGUCGGUAUUAGCCCUGAACAAACCUUGGAGUCGGGUUGUUUGUGAAUGCAGCCCAAAGUGGGUGGUAAACUCCAUCUAAGGCUAAAUACUAGCACGAGUCCGAUAGCAAACAAGUACCGUGAGGGAAAGUUGAAAAGUACUUUGAAGAGAGGGUAAACAGUGCGUGAAACUGCUCAAAGGUAAACGGGUGGAGUUGAACUGGAAGCCUUUGGAAUUCAGCUGGUUGGUAUGCUAGCGCUUAGAAUCCGUUCAGUUACGGGCAUUUGUUUGUAGCAUUAUUGGUGCAGACAAGUGUUUGCGAUGUAUUGGUUAGAUACUGCAUGUCUAAGCUGUUUAGUUGUCUGGCUAGUGCACUUUCCUUUGGUGUCCACCACGACCGGUUGUGCUGCCUGUUUGUUUUGAUUAAACCAAUUGGAUGCAAUCUUUGUGGUAGUGUCUAAUUGGGAUAGCAGGUGGCUUGUUAGUUGGGGCUUUGCUUUGUGGCGGUUUUGGCUAACAAGUUUAAUCAGCUAGUUGAGACAAAUCUGUCCAGCCUGUCGGUGACAAAUGGGCUUAGUUGGUAUGGUGCAAUUGACUGGAUAAUGUGAGUUGGUUGGAGUUGUUUGUUUCGGCAAAUGCUUUGGCCACUUGUGUUGUUUAGUUAGUUGUGCUUUAUGCUGGCUUGGUUCACGAGUCUGUGGUGCAGCGGUAGAUUAUCCACCUGACCCGUCUUGAAACACGGACCAAGAAGUUUAACAUGUAUGCGAGUCAUUGGGCGUUACGAAACCCACAGGCGCAGUGAAAGUAAAAGCUAUACUUAGCUAAGGCGAGAUCUUGUUGCUGUUAAUGAAGCAACCGCUUUAUUGCAGUGCAAGCGCAUCGCCAGCCCGUUUCAUGAUGUAUUUCAUUGGAGCGGAGCUUGAGCAUACAUGUUGAGACCCGAAAGAUGGUGAGCUAUGCUUGCGCAGGUUGAAGCCAGAGGAAACUCUGGUGGAGGACCGUAGCGAUUCUGACGUGCAAAUCGAUCGUUUAACGUGAGUAUAGGGGCGAAAGACUAAUCGAACCAUCUAGUAGCUGGUUCCCUCUGAAGUUUCCCUCAGGAUAGCUGGCACUCAGUAAUCAUUCGUAGAUAAUUUUUUCCGGUAAAGCGAAUGAUUAGAGGUAUUGGGGAUAAAACGUCCUCAACCUAUUCUCAAACUUUAAAUGGGUUAGAAGCUUUGCUCGCUUAAAUGGAGUGAAGUGUUGAAUAUGAGUGCCAAGUGGGCCGUUUUUGGUAAGCAGAACCGGCGAUGUGGGAUGAACCAAACGUUUGGUUAAGGUGCCUAAUGUAACGCUAAUGAGAUCCCACAAAAGGUGUUGGUUGGUCCAGACAGCAGGACGGUGGCCAUGGAGGUUGGAAUCCGCUAAGGAG
Molecule: ribosomal RNA, 1571 nt
Filed under: Electrovermis zappum
Lineage: Eukaryota; Metazoa; Platyhelminthes; Trematoda; Strigeidida; Aporocotylidae
Description: partial large subunit ribosomal RNA
Rfam family: Eukaryotic large subunit ribosomal RNA
Source: RNAcentral